GCGGCAAAAGCUCAAAUUUGAAAUCUGGCACUUUCAGUGUCCGAGUUGUAAUUUGAAGAAGGUAUCUUUGGGUCUGGCUCUUGUCUAUGUUUCUUGGAACAGAACGUCACAGAGGGUGAGAAUCCCGUGCGAUGAGAUGUCCCAGACCUAUGUAAAGUUCCUUCGAAGAGUCGAGUUGUUUGGGAAUGCAGCUCUAAGUGGGUGGUAAAUUCCAUCUAAAGCUAAAUAUUGGCGAGAGACCGAUAGCGAACAAGUACAGUGAUGGAAAGAUGAAAAGAACUUUGAAAAGAGAGUGAAAAAGUACGUGAAAUUGUUGAAAGGGAAGGGCUUGAGAUCAGACUUGGUAUUUUGUAUGUUACUCUCUCGGGGGUGGCCUCUACAGUUUACCGGGCCAGCAUCAGUUUGAGCGGUAGGAUAAGUGCAAAGAAAUGUGGCACUGCUUCGGUAGUGUGUUAUAGUCUUUGUCGAUACUGCCAGCUUAGACUGAGGACUGCGGCUUCGGCCUAGGAUGUUGGCAUAAUGAUCUUAAGUCGCCCGUCUUGAAACACGGAC
RNAcentral lists this ribosomal RNA (552 nucleotides) under Lodderomyces parapsilosis. RNAcentral's name for it is "eukaryotic LSU rRNA". It matches the Rfam family "Eukaryotic large subunit ribosomal RNA", at positions 98 to 666 of the family's 3401-position model. The record is from RNAcentral. Lineage: Eukaryota; Fungi; Ascomycota; Pichiomycetes; Serinales; Debaryomycetaceae.